GGGGAAUAUUGCACAAUGGUCGCAAGCCUGAUGCAGCCAUGCCGCGUGUAUGAAGAAGGUCUUCGUGUUGUAAAGUACUUUCAGCUAGGAGGAUGGUGUUGUGGUUAAUAACCACAGCAAUUGACGUUACCCGCCGAAGAAGCACCGGCUAACUCCGUUCCAGCAGCCGCGGUAAUACGGAGGUGCAAGCGUUAAUCGGAAUUACUGGGCGUAAAGCGCACGCAGGCGGUCUGUCAAGUCGGAUGUGAAAUCCCCGGGCUCAACCUGGGAACCGCAUUCGAAACUGGCAGGCUAGAGUCUUGUAGAGGGGGGUAGAAUUCCAGGUGUAGCGGUGAAAUGCGUAGAGAUCUGGAGGAAUACCGGUGGCGAAGGCGUCCCCCUGGACAAAGACUGACGCUCAGGUGCGAAAGCGUGGGGAGCAAACA
RNAcentral lists this ribosomal RNA (425 nucleotides) under uncultured Enterobacteriaceae bacterium. RNAcentral describes it as "bacterial SSU rRNA". It matches the Rfam family "Bacterial small subunit ribosomal RNA", at positions 356 to 774 of the family's 1533-position model. Lineage: Bacteria; Pseudomonadati; Pseudomonadota; Gammaproteobacteria; Enterobacterales; Enterobacteriaceae. The record is from RNAcentral.